AGACAUAUAAUACAAGAGAUUGGCAACUCGUAGUAGAGUCUAUAUAACGGCCAAUGAAAUCACUUGGCCACCGGAAGUGCUUGGGAUUAUGAUGUGACCUGGGAUGAAGGAGGAUCGCGAUGAGAAAAUUUCGCCAUUGUUGUAAAGAGGGACGAUACGCUUACAGAUUUGUUUUCUCGUUUAUGUCAAUUGCUUUCACAGCUAAAGCAUAAUGCCAAAGAGGAAAAGAUGUAGAAAUUAACAAAUGGAGUUAAAAAGAGAGUAAUCCUCGACCAUGAACAGCUGUUGGUACCAGUAUGGAGGAGACAUCUGUUCCAGUUGCAAUCCACACUGAAGAUGGAAAGAGAAUGAAAAAAUAUGAACGCUUAAAUUUGAUUGUCAUGCUGUUUCUUUUUCUAGCACCAGUGAAAGGCACAGAGCAACUGAUUGCAUAAGAAAUUGAGAUAUUUGCAGUGAAUGAGACACACAAUAAAGAUGAAGAAUCUUGCCAUUUCCCUUUCACUGUAUGCAAUUUAUUACAAGUUACCAUCACUGAUACAUGUAUAUAUCCUUAGCUGUACAGAUACCGAAAUUUGCAUAGUUGAACUGUACCAGAUCAGUUGCAGGGAAAUGAUCAUAAAACUCUCAGUUAUCAUUGACAGUAACAUUAUGAAUAAAUGUUUGAUAAUAAAAAUAUUAUUUAUA
This is a long non-coding RNA of Mytilus trossulus (common blue mussel), 684 nucleotides long. RefSeq lists it as uncharacterized. Lineage: Eukaryota; Metazoa; Mollusca; Bivalvia; Mytilida; Mytilidae. The record is from RefSeq and is a predicted model, not a curated record. The transcript has 2 exons.